This 473-nucleotide unclassified non-coding RNA is filed under the name Hevea brasiliensis (rubber tree). Lineage: Eukaryota; Viridiplantae; Streptophyta; Magnoliopsida; Malpighiales; Euphorbiaceae. The record is from RNAcentral.
AAGCCGAAGACCCACAAAAUCAUUUCGAAAUUAUUUUGGGUUUCUUGUUAGCUGAACACCCAACCUAUCCAGUAAAGCUGCAGCAGUGGCACUAUCUUCCUUAGCAAAUUGUGGGUUUUCUUUCCUUGUUUAAUCUUUAGUAUCAAUACAGUUUAUGUAUAGUGGUUUUGCAGUUCACAUAAUUGUUGAUGGUGAUUUGUGUCCAAGAUUAAUGUUGACUGAACUGAAACAUAGAGUUCAUCUUCACAAUAACUCCGCUUGGAUUGGAUAUGGUGGUUCUACAAGUCAAAAUCUUUCUUUUGGACGCAAAUGACAAUGUUAAGCUAAUUGCUUAUGCGAGAAUUGCUGUCCAUAAAUGCAAGUUAUGUAUAUUCAUUUAGGAGCAGAAUCUGUUUGAUAAAAUUUCUCUUCAAAAAAUUAGAGGAUGAGCGAAGGAAAAGUGGUGUGCUUAACAGGAGGAUCAGGUUACAUAG